This is a long non-coding RNA of Aquila chrysaetos chrysaetos, 188 nucleotides long. RefSeq lists it as uncharacterized. The record is from RefSeq and is a predicted model, not a curated record. Lineage: Eukaryota; Metazoa; Chordata; Aves; Accipitriformes; Accipitridae. The transcript has 3 exons.
AACAAAUUCAACAAAGGGAUUGAGUACACCCUCAGGAAGUUUGCAGAGGACACCAAUUUGGGAGGGAGUAUUGAUCUGCUUGAGAGUAGGAAGGCUCUACAGAGGGAUCUGGACAGGCUGGAUCGAUGGGCCGAGGCCAAUUGUAUGAAGUUCAACGAGGCCAAGUGCCGGGUCCUGCACUUGGGUCA